UUGUUGCAGUUAAAAAGCUCGUAGUUGGAUGUAUGACAAGACCGGGCGGUCUGUCGCAAGACAGCACUGAGCGUGUCGCGUCACGAUGCUGGGGAACUGCUCAAAAGGCAGGGAACCAGGGAUUACUUUGAAGAAAUUAGAGUGUUUAAAGCAGGCGAUUGCUUGAAUACAUUAGCAUGGAAUAAUGAGAUAGGACUGUGGUCUUAUUUUGUUGGUUUGAGGGCCGUAGUAAUGAUUAAUAGGGAUAGUUGGGGGCAUUUGUAUUCAGUAGUCAGAGGUGAAAUUCUUGGAUUUACUGAAGACAAACUAAUGCGAAAGCAUUUGCCAAGGAUGUUUUCAUUAAUCAAGAACGAAAGUUAGGGGAUCGAAGACGAUUAGAUACCGUCGUAGUCUUAACCAUAAACUAUGCCGACUAGGGAUCGGCAGAUGUCACUGAGACGCUGUCGGCACCUUUCGAGAAAUCAAAGUUUUUGGGUUCUGGGGGGAGUAUGGUCGCAAGGCUGAAACUUAAAGGAAUUGACGGAAGGGCACCACCAGGAGUGGAGCCUGCGGCUUAAUUUGACUCAACACGGGAAAACUCACCAGGUCCGGACAUGGUAAGG
RNAcentral lists this ribosomal RNA (602 nucleotides) under uncultured eukaryote. Its description in RNAcentral is "SSU rRNA". It matches the Rfam family "Eukaryotic small subunit ribosomal RNA", at positions 610 to 1238 of the family's 1831-position model. The record is from RNAcentral.